UAUGUAGGCGGAUUAAUAAGUUUGAAGUGAAAUCCUAUAGCUUAACUAUAGAACUGCUUUGAAAACUGUUAAUCUAGAAUGUGGGAGAGGUAGAUGGAAUUUCUGGUGUAGGGGUAAAAUUCGUAGAGAUCAGAAGGAAUACCGAUUGCGAAGGCGAUCUACUGGAACAUUAUUGACGCUGAGAUGCGAAAGCGUGGGGAGCAAACA
This 207-nucleotide ribosomal RNA is filed under the name uncultured bacterium. Its description in RNAcentral is "partial 16S ribosomal RNA". It matches the Rfam family "Bacterial small subunit ribosomal RNA", at positions 568 to 774 of the family's 1533-position model. The record is from RNAcentral.